GCCUGGGUGGCUCAGUGGGUUGAGCAUCCGACUUCAGCUCAGGUCAUGAUCUCAGUUCGUGAGUUCAAGCCCCACGUCAGGCU
RNAcentral lists this transfer RNA (83 nucleotides) under Felis catus (domestic cat). It matches the Rfam family "tRNA". Rfam says of the family: Transfer RNA (tRNA) molecules are approximately 80 nucleotides in length. Their secondary structure includes four short double-helical elements and three loops (D, anti-codon, and T loops). The record is from Rfam by way of RNAcentral. Lineage: Eukaryota; Metazoa; Chordata; Mammalia; Carnivora; Felidae.